CCUACGGGAGGCAGCAGUAGGGAAUAUUGGGCAAUGGACGAAAGUCUGACCCAGCCACGCCGCGUGCAGGAAGACGGCCCUCUGGGUUGUAAACUGCUUUUAACUGGGAAGAAAGAAGCCCAUGCGUGGGAAGUUGACGGUACCAGUUGAAUAAGCCACGGCUAACUACGUGCCAGCAGCCGCGGUAAUACGUAGGUGGCAAGCGUUAUCCGGAUUUAUUGGGUUUAAAGGGUGCGUAGGCGGUUCAAUAAGUCAGUGGUUAAAGGUAGCAGCUUAACUGUUUUACAUGCCACUGAUACUGCUGAACUUGAGUUGACAGAAGGCAGAUAGAAUUUCUGGUGUAGCGGUGAGAUGCUUAGAUACCAGAAGGAAUACCGAUUGCGAAGGCAGUCUGCUGCAGUCACACUGACGCUGAGGCACGAAAGUGCGGGGAAUCAACAGAUUAGAUACCCUGGUAGUCCGCACAGUAAACGAUGAUUACCAGAUGUUUGGCCUUAUGCAGUGUCGUAACGGAACGGAACGUAAGUAAGUACGACCGUACGGACGGUACGGUAACCGGCCGACGGUUACGUUAACGUAACGUUAAGUUAAGUAAGUUAGAGGCGNGAGACGAGACGACGACGACGACGAGGAGGAGGAG
RNAcentral lists this ribosomal RNA (640 nucleotides) under uncultured bacterium. RNAcentral's name for it is "bacterial SSU rRNA". The stretch from base 1 to 537 matches the Rfam family "Bacterial small subunit ribosomal RNA", at positions 338 to 873 of the family's 1533-position model. The record is from RNAcentral.